UAAUUGAAGAGUUUGAUCAUGGCUCAGAUUGAACGCUGGCGGCAGGCUUAACACAUGCAAGUCGAGCGGUAGCACAGGGGAGCUUGCUCCCUGGGUGACGAGCGGCGGACGGGUGAGUAAUGUCUGGGAAACUGCCUGAUGGAGGGGGAUAACUACUGGAAACGGUAGCUAAUACCGCAUAACGUCGCAAGACCAAAGAGGGGGACCUUCGGGCCUCUUGCCAUCAGAUGUGCCCAGAUGGGAUUAGCUAGUAGGUGGGGUAAUGGCUCACCUAGGCGACGAUCCCUAGCUGGUCUGAGAGGAUGACCAGCCACACUGGAACUGAGACACGGUCCAGACUCCUACGGGAGGCAGCAGUGGGGAAUAUUGCACAAUGGGCGCAAGCCUGAUGCAGCCAUGCCGCGUGUGUGAAGAAGGCCUUCGGGUUGUAAAGCACUUUCAGCGAGGAGGAAGGUGGUGAGCUUAAUACG
Molecule: ribosomal RNA, 470 nt
Filed under: Serratia marcescens
Lineage: Bacteria; Pseudomonadati; Pseudomonadota; Gammaproteobacteria; Enterobacterales; Yersiniaceae
Also listed under: 5 other names
Description: bacterial SSU rRNA
Rfam family: Bacterial small subunit ribosomal RNA
Source: RNAcentral